AUCCAUCCAGUCCCUUUCCCAAGGGAUCAAAUCACUGGUCUGGGUGGUCGUAAAAGGAGGACACAUUGAAGCUGGCCCUCAGUGCUCUUGGAACUCGAGCUAAUCUCAAACAGAG
This 115-nucleotide small nucleolar RNA is filed under the name Echinops telfairi (small Madagascar hedgehog). Its description in RNAcentral is "Small nucleolar RNA SNORA61 (ENSETEG00000025715.1)". The record is from RNAcentral. Lineage: Eukaryota; Metazoa; Chordata; Mammalia; Afrosoricida; Tenrecidae.